RNAcentral lists this long non-coding RNA (317 nucleotides) under Gallus gallus (chicken). The record is from RNAcentral. Lineage: Eukaryota; Metazoa; Chordata; Aves; Galliformes; Phasianidae.
GCCGUCCCCGCGCGCGCGCGCGCCGCAUCCGGGGUACCGCGCGCCGCCGCCGCGCCGCCCCCCAUUGGCCCGAGCGCUCGCGCCGCCGCCGCCGCCUCUCAUUGGUCGGAGCGUUUCCCGCCGCCGCCGCCGCCGCCGCCGCCGCCUCCGAUCCCAUCCCGGGAUGGCCGUAUGGGAUCACCGCCUCCCACCGCUGCUGUGACCACAGCCAUGAACCACCGCCGCGCCGGGGACCGUCACCGCCGGGCAACGCCGCCCGGUCAGCGGCCCCCGGCGCGACAGCCAUGAACCCCCCCGCCCCCCCCCCACCACCCCCA